Molecule: ribosomal RNA, 253 nt
Filed under: uncultured bacterium
Lineage: Bacteria
Description: partial 16S ribosomal RNA
Rfam family: Bacterial small subunit ribosomal RNA
Source: RNAcentral
GACGUAGGGCGCGAGCGUUGUCCGGAUUUAUUGGGCGUAAAGAGCUCGUAGGCGGCUUGUCGCGUCGACCGUGAAAACUCGCAGCUCAACUGCGAGCCUGCGGUCGAUACGGGCAGGCUAGAGUUCGGUAGGGGAGACUGGAAUUCCUGGUGUAGCGGUGAAAUGCGCAGAUAUCAGGAGGAACACCGGUGGCGAAGGCGGGUCUCUGGGCCAAAACUGACGCUGAGGAGCGAAAGCGUGGGGAGCAAACAGG